AAGUCGUAACAAGGUUUCCGUAGGUGAACCUGCGGAAGGAUCAUUACUGAGUGAGGGCCCUCUGGGUCCAACCUCCCACCCGUGUUUAUUGUACCUUGUUGCUUCGGUGAGCCCGCCUCACGGCCGCCGGGGGGCUUCUGCCCCCGGGCCCGCGCCCACCGAAGACACCAUUGAACUCUGUCUGAAGAUUGCAGUCUGAGCAUAAACUAAAUAAGUUAAAACUUUCAACAACGGAUCUCUUGGUUCCG
This 248-nucleotide unclassified non-coding RNA is filed under the name Penicillium sp. RNAcentral's name for it is "partial contains small subunit ribosomal RNA, internal transcribed spacer 1, and 5.8S ribosomal RNA". The stretch from base 1 to 46 matches the Rfam family "Eukaryotic small subunit ribosomal RNA", at positions 1786 to 1831 of the family's 1831-position model. The record is from RNAcentral. Lineage: Eukaryota; Fungi; Ascomycota; Eurotiomycetes; Eurotiales; Aspergillaceae.